GGGGCUGUGGCUCUGUGAUAAAGUGUCUGCUUUGCAUUCAGAAGGUCCCUGGUUCAAACCCAAACAUCUCCU
This 72-nucleotide transfer RNA is filed under the name Sphaerodactylus townsendi. RNAcentral's name for it is "tRNA-Ala". It matches the Rfam family "tRNA". Rfam says of the family: Transfer RNA (tRNA) molecules are approximately 80 nucleotides in length. Their secondary structure includes four short double-helical elements and three loops (D, anti-codon, and T loops). The record is from RNAcentral. Lineage: Eukaryota; Metazoa; Chordata; Lepidosauria; Squamata; Sphaerodactylidae.